UGUUAAAAAUUUCAUCCAUUUUUUCUGUUAAAAACUGGUAUAGCUGACAAAAUAACCAGACAUUUACACUUUAUGUGUUAUGUGUACUUCAUGUUCACAUACAAAGAUCAACUUUUAACAGUAAGAAUGGAUGAAAAUUUUUAUA
Molecule: non-coding RNA, 145 nt
Organism: Gossypium hirsutum (cotton)
Lineage: Eukaryota; Viridiplantae; Streptophyta; Magnoliopsida; Malvales; Malvaceae
Source: Rfam